Molecule: ribosomal RNA, 490 nt
Filed under: uncultured bacterium
Lineage: Bacteria
Description: partial 16S ribosomal RNA
Rfam family: Bacterial small subunit ribosomal RNA
Source: RNAcentral
AUUGAACGCUGGCGGCAGGCCUAACACAUGCAAGUCGAACGGUAACAGGAAGAAGCUUGCUUCUUUGCUGACGAGUGGCGGACGGGUGAGUAAUGUCUGGGAAACUGCCUGAUGGAGGGGGAUAACAACUGGAAACGGUAGCUAAUACCGCAUAACGUCGCAAGACCAAAGAGGGGGACCUUCGGGCCUCUUGCCAUCGGAUGUGCCCAGAUGGGAUUAGCUAGUAGGUGGGGUAACGGCUCUCCUAGGCGACGAUCCCUAGCUGGUCUGAGAGGAUGACCAGCCACACUGGAACUGAGACACGGUCCAGACUCCUACGGGAGGCAGCAGUGGGGAAUAUUGCACAAUGGGCGCAAGCCUGAUGCAGCCAUGCCGCGUGUAUGAAGAAGGCCUUCGGGUUGUAAAGUACUUUCAGCGGGGAGGAAGGGAGUAAAGUUAAUACCUUUGCUCAUUGACGUUACCCGCAGAAGAAGCACCGGCUAACUCCGUG